GUGAGUCAUCGAGUCUUUGAACGCAUAUGGCACCUUCUGGCCCUGCUGGAAGGUAUGCCUGUUUGAGAAUCAUACAUCCAUUGACCAUCUAUGGUGAUCACGUUCACGUCACACCCGUGUCCAUGCAUGUGAUUCAUCGAUGGUGGUCGACAUGGGCCUUCAGCACUGAUCGCCUCGAAUUGUGCAUGGUCGUCGUGAUAGAAAGAGGGAGUGGCACAUGGCAACAAUGGCUGUUGCUUCGUGACGACGGUCCACUUUACCCCCAUUCAUGAUCUCAAAUCAGGCAAGACUACCCGCUGAACUUAAGCAUAUCAAUAAGGCGAGG
RNAcentral lists this ribosomal RNA (325 nucleotides) under uncultured fungus. Its description in RNAcentral is "eukaryotic LSU rRNA". The stretch from base 1 to 72 matches the Rfam family "5.8S ribosomal RNA", at positions 84 to 154 of the family's 154-position model. The record is from RNAcentral. Lineage: Eukaryota; Fungi.